Long non-coding RNA from Ornithodoros turicata, 933 nucleotides. RefSeq lists it as uncharacterized. The transcript is spliced from 6 exons. The record is from RefSeq and is a predicted model, not a curated record. NCBI's taxonomy places the organism in Eukaryota, Metazoa, Arthropoda, Arachnida, Ixodida, Argasidae.
UCCACUUGUUGUACUCGGUAUUUUCCUACAUGUGCAUCCACAUGCGCAAGUGGCGUAUGUACGUUUUGCGUUGUACGUUUUGUAACUCGAAUGUCCCAGUUUGUGUUCGUCAUUCCGCAGGGUCCGUGUGAGAGAUCAUCCUGCACAUAUUCUUCACGCUAUUCUUCAAGGUUGACUCUGUAACAUUGAAGCCUUCUACGAUGUUCAAGUACACCUUCUUCUGUCUGUUCGUGUGCCUAAUUGUUCUGGAAGUCCUGGUUGGCGCACAGGAAGGAGGACUCGCACAGAUCGUAGGGGGAUUUGACGGUGCAUUAGACGAAAGCGCAAAAGAUGAACUUAGACGACUACAGAAAAUGAGAGACGGUACCUUAGACGAUGUUACCAAGGAUCUGGAGAAGGCCUUUGGACGUUAAGGAAGGAAGGUCAUCGCACAAUGAACAACGAAAUGAAAGUGUGUAUUCAAGAAUGGACGUUCGACGACGCCUUCAACACCAUGGAGAAUUAUACUUCGUUUACCGUCGAAGCGCUGUAAUCACCGAGGCAAUCCGCCUCAAUCGUCCAGUUAAAAUAAAUACGACGUGAGUGCUCUCGCGAUAUUUUGUAUGUUUAUAUGCUUGUUUGCUCUUUUUCAACCGUUUUCGUCUUCUACAGCCUGAAUAUUCGUAUAGUAUUAACUAAUUUAUCAACAGUAAGCAUAUAUUAGAAUGUAAUCCUUCACGCUCCCUUUGUUGUGCUUUUCUGUGCUCCUCCUUCUUCCCUUCAUUAAUGGCUUCGUGUAACUGUUGCACAUCUGCGGGGGCGACACCCUCGCCCCUCGUUGUUUUGUAUGUGUUUGUGUUAAAAUAAAGUUGAGUCACAGUGAUACCAGCGCUCGGGUCCAUCCUCUGGGCCUAUAUAAGCGGCAGCCUGGUCCACUGUAGGCAGUUCGUCUUC